GACGAACGCUGGCGGCGUGCUUAACACAUGCAAGUCGAACGGAAAGGCCCUGUUUUUGUGGGGUGCUCGAGUGGCGAACGGGUGAGUAACACGUGAGUAACCUGCCCUUGACUUUGGGAUAACUUCAGGAAACUGGGGUUAAUACCGGAUAGGAGCUCCUUCUGCAUGGUGGGGGUUGGAAAGUUUCGCCGGUUGGGGAUGUACUCGCGGCAUAUCAGCUUGUUGGUGGGGUAGUGGCUUACCAAGGCUUUGACGAGUAGCCGGCCUGAGAGGGUGACCGGCCACAUAGGGACAGGGGUACGGCCCGGAGUCCUACGUGGGGAAGCGGUGGGAGAUAGAGCACGAUAGGCGGAAGGCUGAAGCAGCAACGCCGGGUGGGGGAUGUCGGCCUUCAGGUAGGAAAGCGCGUGCGCCUGUGACGAAGCGUAAGUGACGGUAAUGGGUAAGGAAGCACCGGCUAACUACGUG
Molecule: ribosomal RNA, 468 nt
Filed under: uncultured bacterium
Lineage: Bacteria
Description: partial 16S ribosomal RNA
Rfam family: Bacterial small subunit ribosomal RNA
Source: RNAcentral